Molecule: ribosomal RNA, 493 nt
Filed under: uncultured bacterium
Lineage: Bacteria
Description: partial 16S ribosomal RNA
Rfam family: Bacterial small subunit ribosomal RNA
Source: RNAcentral
ACGAACGCUGGCGGCGCGCUUAACACAUGCAAGUCGAACGGAAAGGCCUGCUUUCCCUUGUGGAUUGCGGGUACUCGAGUGGCGAACGGGUGAGUAACACGUGAGUGAUCUGCCCCCAACUUGGGUAUAAGCCUGGGAAACUGGGUCUAAUUCCCGAUAGGACUGCAGGGUGGUGCCUGUGGUGGAAAACGAUUUUCUAGUGGUUGGGGAUGAGCUCGCGGCCUAUCAGCUUGUUGGUGGGGUAAUGGCCUACCAAGGCGGCGACGGGUAGCCGGCCUGAGAGGGUGGACGGCCACAUUGGGACUGAGAGACGGCCCAGACUCCUACGGGAGGCAGCAGUGGGGAAUAUUGCACAAUGGGCGGAAGCCUGAUGCAGCGACGCCGCGUGGGGGAUGACGGCCUUCGGGUUGUAAACUCCUUUCGACCGCGAGGAAGCCACCUGGUUGGAAGGGUGGUGACGGUAGUGGUAGAAGAAGCACCGGCUAACUACGUG